AGGAAGAAGGAUACAAUGAGUUGUUUGUGACCUUGAGCUAGGCGUUUAUUUCACUUCUCAGCCUUUGUAAAAUGGAGAGUGGAACUAAAAUGGAGUGUGGGACGAGCGGAUCCCUGGAAGGUCCCUCCACCCCUAGCUUUUGAGGAGGAAGCCGAGAGAAAGAACGAGGCAGAGCAGAGGGUCAGAAGAGAAACAUUGGAGAUUUUCUCAGCCUUGAAUGAAGCCUGGACUUCAGGAAUGUCAUUAACAGCAGGACUUUUCAUGAUCAAUUCCAGUAACCCAGAUCUCAAGAUACGCCUCAAUAAAAUUCAAGUAGCCCUCAUUGGAACAAAGCCUCCAUUUGGUGGGAGCCGACGCCUGAAGCCGGGGAAGUGA
RNAcentral lists this long non-coding RNA (375 nucleotides) under Monodelphis domestica (gray short-tailed opossum). Its description in RNAcentral is "lncRNA (ENSMODG00000050549.1)". Lineage: Eukaryota; Metazoa; Chordata; Mammalia; Didelphimorphia; Didelphidae. The record is from RNAcentral.